RNAcentral lists this ribosomal RNA (254 nucleotides) under uncultured bacterium. RNAcentral's name for it is "partial 16S ribosomal RNA". It matches the Rfam family "Bacterial small subunit ribosomal RNA", at positions 524 to 776 of the family's 1533-position model. The record is from RNAcentral.
UACGUAGGGUGCAAGCGUUAAUCGGAAUUACUGGGCGUAAAGCGUGCGCAGGCGGUUAUGUAAGACAGUUGUGAAAUCCCCGGGCUCAACCUGGGAACUGCAUCUGUGACUGCAUAGCUAGAGUACGGUAGAGGGGGAUGGAAUUCCGCGUGUAGCAGUGAAAUGCGUAGAUAUGCGGAGGAACACCGAUGGCGAAGGCAAUCCCCUGGACCUGUACUGACGCUCAUGCACGAAAGCGUGGGGGAGCAAACAGG